GUAUGGUUAUUGAUUUGCUAGCAUAUAUUCUAGACUAAAUUUUGUUAGCCUGCUGCACUUUAUAUCGCUUUUAUCUGGUUUCUUUCUUAGUUUCUUAUAACAUCUUAAUUUAUUAGUUUUAUAUGACGUAAGAUUGUUCCGUUCACUAAUGUUUCUCCAUGUUUAUGAAGAAAAGAUUGGGUUCAGAGCACCUUUCCAUGUUAUUUAUCUGAUUUUUGUGAUUUCUGAUGUUCAGGUCAAGGCAAACUUGAAAUGUGGCCACCUUUGUAUGGCUAAUGGCUUUGUAGGCUUUCAGUAUUUGGCGUCUGUCGCCGGGUUUGUUCCGCCUCAACCAGGAUCUUCUCAGCACUGCUCUGAUGUUGUGAAAACUCACGCACGCCGGCAGCCGCCUCCAUGCUCCAGUUGUCGCAGCCUGCAGGGCCAGUUGCUCCUAUCUAGACGAGCUUUGUCAGGGUCAUGUGGUUGCUGCUGCUACCGCUUUGUCGGGGUCAAGGGUCAAUAAAACUCAGGUCAAUUGAUGUUGGGCACCAAUCUUGCUCCUAUUUGGGUGGGCUACAGCUUUGUCAGGCUGCCAUCAUAUUCUGAUCUUCCAGUGUUCCUUCUGCGGUGUGGAGGAGGUUUGAAAGUAGAUCGUGGUGACGAUUGCGCCAUUACAUGUUAUUAUUGUUCAUAUCUUAUCAUUAGAAAUAGACAUGUUAUAAGGAAGAUGUUACCGAUAUAUUUCUUUCAUGGUCAAUGAUUGUCUUGCUUUUCUGUGUCACAUUGCUUAUACCUGUCGUUUUCUAAAAUUAUUGCAUGGUAGCUAGCUAAUCUCUAUGAUAAUAGUUUCUGAGAUUCCAAAGGGUUUUUAAUUUUAUUUUAGACCAUGAUAGCAUUCCUUACCCGUUGUCACCUUCCUUCUCUAUCUUCGCAUGAUA
This is a long non-coding RNA of Triticum aestivum (bread wheat), 917 nucleotides long. RefSeq lists it as uncharacterized. The transcript is spliced from 3 exons. The record is from RefSeq and is a predicted model, not a curated record. Lineage: Eukaryota; Viridiplantae; Streptophyta; Magnoliopsida; Poales; Poaceae.